This 490-nucleotide ribosomal RNA is filed under the name uncultured Alphaproteobacteria bacterium. RNAcentral's name for it is "bacterial SSU rRNA". It matches the Rfam family "Bacterial small subunit ribosomal RNA", at positions 9 to 524 of the family's 1533-position model. The record is from RNAcentral. Lineage: Bacteria; Pseudomonadati; Pseudomonadota; Alphaproteobacteria.
GAGUUUGAUCAUGGCUCAGAACGAACGCUGGCGGCAGGCUUAACACAUGCAAGUCGAACGCCCCGCAAGGGGAGUGGCAGACGGGUGAGUAACGCGUGGGAACGUACCUUUCGCUUCGGAAUAGUCCCGGGAAACUGGGUUUAAUACCGAAUACGCCGUAUUGGGAAAGAUUUAUCGGCGAAAGAUCGGCCCGCGUUAGAUUAGGUAGUUGGCGGUGUAAUGGACCACCAAGCCUACGAUCUAUAGCUGGUCUGAGAGGAUGAUCAGCCACACUGGGACUGAGACACGGCCCAGACUCCUACGGGAGGCAGCAGUGGGGAAUCUUGGACAAUGGGCGAAAGCCUGAUCCAGCCAUGCCGCGUGUGUGAAGAAGGUCUUCGGAUUGUAAAGCACUUUAAGUUGGAGGAAGGGCAGUAAGUUAAUACCUUGCUGUUUUGACGUUACCAACAGAAUAAGCACCGGCUAACUUCGUGCCAGCAGCCGCCGCAGU